CCAAAACAGAUAGAUCUUUGAACAGGAAAGGAAUUGAGGGUUAUGGUGAAUGGGAGGGUAAGUGGAGCUGAGUCCGCAAAAAAGAUCAGCGGAACGAGCUGGAAGAGACAGAUGGCCUACUCCUGUUUUAUUUCUUAUGUCCGUACGUCCUUAGAUUGCCAUCCUUGUCAUUCCUCCUUCCCUGGAAUAGGCCAGUUCUGAACUGAAGAGUAGGUCUUUCAAUAACUCCCACGUAUCAAAUGUUGACUUGUUCAAUAAAAGCUCCUCCCAAUUAAUACUGCUCAGCUCCUACCUAACACUGAUGUAAUUUUCCCUCCCCCAAUUUCGUCCCUUCCCACAAGGUCCUGAUUAUCCAUGGCUGUCUUAAAAUGUAAGGAGAUGCGAUCGCCCAUUUACGAAGCUCCUGGUUCACUGUUUUUCCCAAGUGGGAAUCAGCUACAGGCUUUCUUGUUCCACGAUGGGGGAGGAAAUGGCCUCGUGGUAUUAUUGCUGGACUGUUAAUUCAGAGACUGAGAUAACAUUCUGGGGACCUGUGUUCAAAUCCCAGCACAGCAGAUGGUGGAAUUUGAAUUCAAUAUAAAAGAAAAUCAUGAAUUAAGAAUAUAAUGAUGACCAUGAAUUCAUUGCCAAAUGUCAGAAAAAGUCAGCUGGUUCACUGAUGUGCUUUAGGGAAGGAAACUGCCACCCUUACAUGAUCUGGCCCACAUGUGACUGCAGACCCACAGCAAUAUGAUUGACUUUGAACUGUCCCCUGGGCAAUUAGGGAUGGACAAUAAACACUGCGUAGCUAGGGAUGUCCUCCUCCCAUUAACAAAUAAAUAAAAUUGGAUUCUACAUCUUCCGAUCCAAGAUCGUUUCUUGCUCUCAUACUAACUUCUUUGCGAACAGUCACUUUCCCUCCUGCCUGUCUUUUUGGAAUGUCGUAUAGCCCUGCGCACUUAGCUCCAGUGUUGAUCUCCUUGUAACCAUGUCUUUGUAAUAGCUAUAAAAUCAUGCCCGUCAACCUAGAAAUGUGCUAUUAAUUUGUUGAUUUUGUUCUGAAUACAAUGAGCACGCAAGCAAAGAGCCAUGAAUUUAGCUUUAUCACUUGAUUUCACCUCUUGACACUAUUUACAGCUGUUUUCUGUUUGUACAUGCUGUCUUUCCCAGUACCACGCUGAGUAUUGUUAUCCCGAUAGUUCUUUCGUCUCAGUCCGUGUGUAUUCCUGGGCGAAUGUGCUCGUGUGGUCUCAGGAGUUGCGGAGGUCACGGCUCUGGGACAGCCGUUUCAUCGCCCUAUGCUGCAGGAAAAAAGCAAUGCAAGUGCCAUUAAUUUUUUGCACGGUGAGCUGCUGCACACUAACCGGUCUCACACCAUUACCAUCACCUUGCCCUUGUGAAGGCAGAUAUGGAUAAGGUUCUCAAAGCUGACAGAAGAUUGAAACCACUCUAAUCCUGUGACGAUGAACCUGCCCCGGAAGAGAGAGCCCAGAGAAUUGCCAAAGCUGUCCGCAAACAGUCAAUAGAAGUGAAGGAAAAUUGGGAACAACUGAAAAUCCGUGCGAGCAACUGGCAGAAACAGGUGGAAAAGGCGUUGGAGAAACUUCAAGAACUGCAGAAAGUUCUGGAUGAUCUUGAGGCUCAGGUGAUAACAGCUGAGGGGGUCCACACUGAUCGGCAACCUGUGAGUGACCUGCUUAUUGACUCAUUGCAGGAUCACAUUGAUAAAACUACAGUUAAAAGUCUACGCCUUUUCAGUUCUCUGCUGCAUAAUGAAGACUUGGAACAAUUUUUUUCUGCAAAGUAGAAAAUCAGUGUGGUUUGUUUUCCAAAAUGUGAUGUCAGCUUUCCUGGAGCAAGUCUGUUUUCCUUCGGAUGAGACGACUUUCAGACAUACUCCCUUUAUUAUGAGAUUUAAUUACGGUAAAAUGAGGAGGAUUUUUAUUCACUGAGACACACAUGACUAUAUGUUUAAAGCAUUGGAAAAUGCGUUCUGUUCGGACUGUCAUGUUAUCUGGUGUUUGUACCAGGCUUUCCGAUUAAAUGCAAGUGAUUAAGGAUGCUAA
Molecule: RNA transcript, 2045 nt
Organism: Stegostoma tigrinum
Lineage: Eukaryota; Metazoa; Chordata; Chondrichthyes; Orectolobiformes; Stegostomatidae
Gene name: utrophin-like
Exons: 5
Source: RefSeq, a predicted model, not a curated record